Molecule: non-coding RNA, 28 nt
Filed under: Rattus norvegicus (Norway rat)
Lineage: Eukaryota; Metazoa; Chordata; Mammalia; Rodentia; Muridae
Source: RNAcentral
UCUAGAUCAAGGGCCUCUGGGUAGUAAA